CAAGUGGAUGAGGCCUGUCAGAAGCCAGCAAGAAACAUCUGAUUAGAACAAGUAGAAAAAAGAAACAACAAAAGCAAAGUAAACACCGGGGCAGAGAGAACCAAGCUAAGCUUUCUAUCUGGUAAAAAAGAUAUGCUUGCCAUUUGCUCAUGGAAAAUGCAAC
RNAcentral lists this long non-coding RNA (163 nucleotides) under Coturnix japonica (Japanese quail). RNAcentral describes it as "lncRNA (ENSCJPG00005016228.1)". The record is from RNAcentral. Lineage: Eukaryota; Metazoa; Chordata; Aves; Galliformes; Phasianidae.